RNAcentral lists this ribosomal RNA (447 nucleotides) under uncultured bacterium. RNAcentral describes it as "bacterial SSU rRNA". It matches the Rfam family "Bacterial small subunit ribosomal RNA", at positions 355 to 825 of the family's 1533-position model. The record is from RNAcentral.
UGGGGAAUAUUGGACAAUGGGCGAAAGCCUGAUCCAGCCACGCCGCGUGAGUGACGAAGGCCUUAGGGUUGUAAAACUCUUUCGUCGGGGACGAUAAUGACGGUACCCGAAGAAGAAGCUCCGGCUAACUUCGUGCCAGCAGCCGCGGUAAUACGAAGGGAGCUAGCGUUGUUCGGAAUCACUGGGCGUAAAGCGCACGUAGGCGGAUAGUUAAGUCAGGGGUGAAAUCCUGGGGCUCAACCCCAGAACUGCCUUUGAUACUGGCUGUCUCGAGGUCGAGAGAGGUUGGUGGAAUUCCUAGUGUAGAGGUGAAAUUCGUAGAUAUUAGGAAGAACACCAGUGGCGAAGGCGGCCAACUGGCUCGAUACUGACGCUGAGGUGCGAAAGCGUGGGGAGCAAACAGGAUUAGAUACCCCCGUAGUCCCUGAGCGGGCUGGCAAGGCGCAU